UACGGGGAGACCUAAAUCGUGACUCAAUUUGCCCUUUUAUAGAGGGAAUACAAGCGUGCUAAGGCUUAGAAAAAGCCACACUCGUCUAUAUCCCAUAUUUAAGGGGACCCUCAAGCAGAUGAACCCUAUAACUAGCAUGAAAUGCAAAAAUCCUAAAAUGGAGGGAAAAGGGGUUCGAGGGGCAUGCAAAAUGAUAAAAUUAAAAAAAAUGCAUGACAUGUAAUGAACAUGCAAACAUGUACUAACGAGGGGAAGUCCCUAAGGGUCUAGCGUUGGACUAGCCCAUUCUAUGAAUUCCGACUAGCGUUGGACUAGUGGAAACGUACAUUCAUCCAUCACAUUCAUUUAUAAAUAUAGAAAGCAAGUAGACAUGCAAAAUCACUUAUAACACGUAGCACAUAACACUUAGCAUGCUCGACUAGAUGCAAUAGCUUAAUAAAGCAAAUUAAACACAUAGCAAACCAAAUAAUACCCCAAAAGCAAAUGAAACUAUUACAUGGGCUAACUAAAACAAAUGGGGGAAGGGGGAAAAAUGGACAAAGUGCUCUCCAAUGCCCUAUCUAUUACAAGCCAAGAGGUGUACACAUACCCCAUAAAUAAAAUAAAAGAAAGACUUAAAAAUGAAAGGAAUUAAAGAAAACUUAAGAAAGCCAAGUAGACAUGCAAUUCACGUAACACGUAGGAGCACGUAAGAGAGAAGUAAAGAGGAUAAAAGAAAGUUAUACCUUCCCCUAAUGGUAAGCAAAUGAAGGAAAAUGGCUUCAAAACAAUAAAGGGGUCAAGGCAUCAAUUUAAAAGUAAAGUAUAAGCAAAAACAUCAAAAACCACCUAAUUGCAACUUGAAUGAGCUCAAAAAAUGCUUAAAGACCAAGAAAACGGAAUAACCCGUUCAAUUUCCAAAUAUAGCAUCUACUAAAGACCCAAAACAAGCAUUACUCGAACAUUCAAGUCCAAAUAAAUUGUUUAAGCACUUCAAAGAUCUUAAAAAUAAAGGAAAAGUCAAACAAAGAUUGAAGUUGCAAUGAUUUUAGGACUUAAUUACAAGAUACUAGAACAUGCUUGGGCUCUUGUGGAACAAAAAGAAACUUAAAAGGAUCAAAUUGAUUAAAUGUUCCAAUUACUUGGGCCCUAGUGAGUCAAGAGGGGACUUGGGGGGUUAAAAAUGUAAUUUUCAGAAAUUAUUUCAUGCAAAACCCAUGCAAGCUACGUGAAAAUCAACAUGAGAAACAACAUUCUGCAGCAGAAAUUUCUGCUGAAAGCUUUCGGCAACCCAGAAGACAACCGUGACUUUCAUUUUCUCAACCUUAACACCAUUUUGAUCGAAAAAUCUUCUAACCAACACAUUAAAGCAUGAAUCUAACAACCAAACAAACAGGUAAAUCAAAUUCAAAGUGAGUUUCUGCAAUAUUUUCUCUCAUGUUUGCUCAAACGAAACCCAAUUCAAACUCACAUCUUAUUUUCCAAAAAAAAACAGAUCUCAAGCUCACAUACAUAGCUUUAACUAAGCUGCAAACUAUGUCAUCACCAUCGCCUCAACAGGUAGAAAAUUUAGAAGGAAAAAACAUGCAAGUUCUAUGCAAUAGCCAUGAAACAAGUUUCUGCAAUUACUUCACAUACUCUAGCAACCGAAGACUGCUGCACUUUCUUCUCAAGCUCAAGCUUCUUAAUCACAACCGUGAUCAAAUUUUCCAAACCAACCAAUUUCAUUCAGACCCAACAAACAGAAAACUUAGCAACUUUAUUCAAACAAACAGAAAAAUUAGCAACUUCAUUCAAACAGAAAAAUUAGCAAAACAUCAAAGGUUUGAAACUUCAGCAAACAAAUCUUUUGAGCUUAGGCAGUUCGCAUGGAAGCUGCACUCAAGCAUUUCGAAUCACAAACCCAUGCUCAAAAUCCUGUUAAGCUUCUCAUGCAUACAAACUACAACUUUCGGUCAAGGCUGGAAUUACUAUCUAACAAAAACAGCAAAGUUUGGAACCGCAAUGGAAGAAAAUAGCAAGACACAACCGUAAAUUUCUGGUGCAGCAAAAAAUGAAUAUGCAUUUUCCAGCAGGUAGUUGGUCUUAAAUCCGAAUUUACCUCGGUUGAAUCAUUGUGCUAAGUACUCAAAACUAACAUGCAAGGCUACUUAAUGAAAUUACUAUCAUAACUAGUUCAAAUCAAGUUCGGUCAGCAACUAUAAUCAUCCACAAUUCCAGAAAUUCUGUUCACCACCCUCGGAUGAACUUGCAUGUAGCAGUUUUCUGUUUCAUAUUUUUUCCUUGCUUAGCCGAACUAAUGAACUUCAUGCAAAGCUUAAUCACCUACUUCUUAGCUAGUUAAUCACAUUUAUAAGCUCAGCCUGCCUCAGGGGAACGAAAUUAAAAUUGCAUUUCCAUUUCAGCUUCUCGGCAAAGCUGGAAAAUUAGUUUAGCAGUCUAAUACUUCCAAUAAAAAAAAAUCCAGCCAUGCAACCGAAAUCCUGCCCAUAACGUUCACAUGCAGUACCAAAUAAAGAACUAUUUAGCAGGUUGAGUUCAAAAUUAAGCUCAGAUCAUCACAACUAGCAAAUUAAAAAAAAACCGAAACUUCCAGCUCAAGCUCUCGGCAGCUUCACUUCCUUCUCAAACAGAUUUUUCUGUGACUUAAACUAUCAUCUAGCCACACAAUCUCACAUGCAUGCUUAUAAACAACUUCAUCAAGCCAUAAUCAACUAGCUUAAGUCCAGAAAUUACCUCAGCUUAAGGCUCAAAUCACGCAACUAGCAGCUGCAAAAAUCCUCUACUCUCGGCUGUCCAGAAUUUCAGUCCGCAACUCUCCUUCUCCCUUGCUCUAGCUUGCGACCAGUAUGAAGACAAUAUGGCUCCCAAUCUCUUUCUAGUUUACAGACGAAAGGAAAUGGAUGAAAAGCUCACACGGACAGCAGCUGCAAUUUUUCCUCUCGGCAGCUCACGCACGCGAGGAUGGUUAGUCUGAAUUCAGUGGUUGCAGCUGUAAUGGUUGUGACUGAAUUGAUCACGGCUAGUUGAGGGUGAAAAAUGGAAUGGCAGCUCCCUCUCCCUCGCUGGUUUCCUCACUUCGAUGAUUCCAAGGUAGAGGGUGUUGUUGUAGCUCACCGAAAGCUCACUCAGACGACAGAAAGCUGAUGUUUCUCUCCUCUCUGCUCGCUCGCGGUUGGAUGUGUUGGUCCUGGUUGCGGAUGGUUGAAGCUGUGGUGUUUCGAUUGGAACUGGUGAAGAUGGUGAUGAUCAGUAGCUCACUCGACUGCCUCUUGCUCUCUCUCUCGCUUGACUUCCUCGGACAGAACAGAAAUACAGCUCGCGGCUCGCUCUCUCUUCACCUUUCUCCUGCUCAAUCCGAGGAGUUCUCCCUCUCUUGCUCUCGUCGAUGAUCACGAGGUGGAGAAUGGAGAUGGAGUGUUUGUGGUUGAGGCUGAGGUAGUGGAGUGAUUCGCGGUAGUGGAGGUUGAGUGUGUGUGUCGAGGGAAGGGAAUGCACUCCGGCAGAGAUGGAAAUGUUAUUUUUAUUUUUAUUUUUUAAUUAAUUAAUUAAACAACAAAAAUGAUAAUAAUAAAACAAUAAUAAUUAAUGAUGAAAACAACUUAAUUAACAUUAGAUAAAAAUAAACUAAAAACAACAAAAAAUGCAAAUUUCCAUUUUUCAUUUUCAUUUUUCACUUUUCUUUUGUUUUCGAAAUAACCUAACCAAAAAAUAAAUAAAGUCAAAAGAUUGAAUUUAAAAAGAAAUAAACCUAUUUUGUGAACAAUUUUCCUUUUUCUCUUUUUUCAUGAUUUUUCUACGCUAAAACUUAAAAAUAAAAAUAGAAACUAGAAACUAAAAAAAACUAAAAGCAACCACGAUAAAUGAGAAUAAAAAGUAAAAGAAAUUACACCAAAAAUUUGGUGUCUACAAUAUAUAAAAUGAUAUUAUCAAUUAUACUACUAAUUAUACAUGUUUAUUAAUAAAAUUUAUUAAUUAUUUAUACUAAAUUUGUUAAUACAUUUAUGUUAAAUUUCUAACUACACUUAAUGCAAUAACACUUUUUUCUAAAAAAAACACAAGAAUAAUUUAGUGAUUGUAUUUGUAUCAAAGUGAAAAUUUGAUUAUUUUAGUUAUAUUUGUUUUAUCAUAUUAGAUUGUAUUCAAAUAACCUUUGUUUAAUUAUUUUUAUGAGUUUUAAUUGUGAAGUUAGAAUGAAUAAUAAUUUGAUAAUGUGUUGAUAUUUUAGUACUUGAUUAUUUGCUUUAAUUUAAUUAUAAUGAAAUUAUAUAAUAAUUUUUUUUUAAUCUCACGGGUGUCCUGCGGAAAAAACGGGUAGAAUAGGACGGGAGCGGGGGCGGGGAAAUUAAAAGGGUUAAUUACAUUUAUCUCCCCUGAGGUAUAACCAAACUACCAGUCAAACCCUGAGGUUUGGUCAAAUAACAAAUAAACCCCUAUCACUAACUUCUGUUAAAUGUCCGUGACGGAAUGAGUAAAAUGACUACAUACCCAAAAUAGUUGAAACUGCCUGUCUUACAAACAUCGUGUACCUUCUUUUCUUUGUUUUUUUUUUUUUUUCCAAUUUUCUGGAACCCUUAAAGGUGACAACAAUGGCAGCAGGAAUGUUUGGGCUGCUGUUGCUGCAUCCAUCAUCAGCCAUAUGCGCCUGCCACCGUCGCCAAUCGUCGACUCCAGCCUCUUCAUCUUUCUUUUGUGUGGGUUGCCAUUCUUGAUACAAACUCAACCAAAACUCACUGCAUAACUGUUCAAAUAGGCCUACAUGUGAGGCUGAUCUGUCUUGCCUUUCCCAUCGGAAGCAAAGACCAAAUUCCACACUUUUGCAGUAAAGCACUUCUCAUUGGGGUAGAACACGAACAAGUCAAAUGAAUCAAUGUUGGCUACUUCCAUCUUUUGGACAGCAAGUUUUAACCUCAAAAUUGAAAAAAAAAAAGAAAAAAAAAAUUUAAAAAAUUGCAAGUGAAGAUUAAUCACCGGCUACUCCAUUACCUUCUUCAAAAACCCAUUUGGUAUCACUCACCAAAUUUAACACGAGCCUUUUUCCUAUCCCUUACCAAAUUUAAGACAAGCCUUUCAAAUGAUAUGAAGGACAAACUUCCAAAUCUCAACUUACAAAAAACUGGAAAAAAACAAAAAUUCCAUAUCUAGUAGCCAAGACAUUUUGAAGAUAAUAGUUUCACUUGUGUAUCUAAGCAAUACCAAAUGAUUUCUCUAGACAUGGUCUACCAAUUCUGGUGCAAAUCCAGCACUAUAAUGUCUGUAUCUUCAUAUGUUCGUAAUGGCUUAACCAAAGAAGAAAUAAAAAAUUGGAUGGAAGAGGAAAAGGUAACGACUUUGGUUUAGAAAGAUGGAUGAGGAGGAGAAAAGAUGGAAGAAUUAGAAUAUGUGAUAGAAUUGACGGCAAAGAAGGGUUAAUGGUUGGAAGCAAUUUAACAUACAAUUUUGGUGGAGAUGCAGACGCUGAAGUUGCAGACUUGAAAGGGAGUCUACCACACUACUUUUUUUCCCUUUUCUUUUUAUUAUUUUGAGGUGAAUUCUUAUUUUAUUCAAUUUGUUGGUUUAUAUUUUUUUUAUGUAAAACAUAAAAUGCCUCUAGAAGGGCAUUUUGGGAUUGCCGCGCUAAUUUUUUGCUAACCUUACCAGCUUCACUAACGACUCCAGACGGUAGGGAUGCUUUUGAUAAAGUUUUGCCUAGUCAGAGGGUUUGAUUGUUAUUUUGUCAAACCUCAAGAUUUGAUUGGUAAUUUGGUCAAAUCUCGGGGAGGUAAAUGUAAUUAACCCAAAUUAAAAUGCAACGGGGCGGGGGUUGGGGGCCGUGUCCCCCGCCCCAUUGCCACCCAUAUCUAAUACCCGCAAGAAAACUUCAAGAAAACCUCUGCAGAUGAAGCUGCAAUGAAGCAUCAAGCCAGGAGAUUCCUGACUAGUCACAGAUUCGCCAACUCGCUCCACUCAACUCGCCUGCCCAGAACUCGCUCUCUCCACACUCAGGUGACUCAGUUCUCUCACCACUCAUCCCCUUCUCUUUCUACCCGAAGUUCCCUUUCCCUUUCUUUGCUGGAUUUAAGAUCCCAAAUUGAAAAGCUGUCCAAAUCACGGAAGUCAGAAGCAUUAAGUAAUGAAAUCUUAUCAGAAAAUCGAGGAUUGCCUGAUUCUAUGAGGAUAUUACAUGAAGACCCAAAAUUUGAUUUACUCUUUUACAGGUGGGCCGCCGAGGAAAAUGGAUUUAGGCCAUGUUCAUCAAGUUAUAAUUCACAGCUGAAGUUGUGUGCUAUAAAUGAUGGAAUGAAGGAAUUUUUGGUUGUUGUCAGAAGUUGUAAAAGAAAGGGAACUUAUAUUGGUCAGAAGACAUAUUUAGAUAUUUAUUCGGAUCUUAGGAGAUUGAAAAGGGAUGAUGACGCUGCUGAGUUGCAGCUUUUUUAUGAGAACAUGGUUUUUCAAAAUGCUAUUAAGGGAGUUGCCAAGAUGGUGGCCCAGAAUUUGGAUUGGGGUAGUGAAUUGGAGGGAAAAUUGGGAGAAAUGAGGAUAUGGGUACAGGAGAAUUUUGUUUUAGGAGUAUUGAAGGAGCUUAAGGGAAAAGGUUUGCCUUUGAAGGCUUUGAGCUUCUUUAAAUGGGUUGGGGAGAGUUUGGGGUUUGAGCAUAAUAAUGCUACUUAUAAUCGGAUUCUUAGGAUUCUUUGCACGGAAGAAACGAUUACGGAGUUUUGGAGUAUAUUUGAGGAGAUGAAAGAUGCUGGUUAUGUAAUUGAUAGUGAUACUUAUGUUGAAGUGAUGUUGGAGUUUCAGAAGAGUAAGAUGGUGAAGGACGCGGUUGAGCUUUUUGAGUAUAGGAUGGGUACUCCAUUUAAGUAUUUGGAGGGGGAGUGUGGCUUGCUUUUUAAUGUCAUUUCAUCGACAAUUAAUCCAGACUUGGACCUGAUGUUUAAAGUUGUGAAGAAAUAUGAGGCAGCCGGGUAUUGUUUAUUGAAGAGUGACUAUGAGGGGAUCCAUAGGUGUUUGACUAGUGCUGGGAAGUUUGAUGAAGCAGAGAAGAUCAUCCAGACCAUGAGAAGGGCCGGUUAUAAUCAGUGUAACGUGACAUACAGACAAUUGAUUUUUGGACUUUGUAAAGCAGGGAGGCUAGAGGAAGCCUGUGAAGUAGUAGACAUGAUGGAAGUGCAGGGAUACAUUCCUGAUAUCAAGACUUGGAUCACACUAACAAAAGGGUAUUGUGAUGUUAAUGGAGUUGAUAAGGCACUUCCAUGGUUUGGAAUUUUGGUGAAAAAAGGCUUUGAUGCAUAUGCUGGUCUUUUGGAUUUUCUAGUAUAUGGAUUUCUGAAAGAGAAGAGGGUCAUUGGAGCAUACGAGUUAGUUGUGGAAAUGGUUGGCAAGGCUCACAUGAUACCAUGGCACGCUACAUUUAGGAAUCUGAUUGAAGAGCUUCUCGGAGAGAGGAGACUGGAAGAGGCCUUGAACCUUCUUCGGCUUAUGAUGAAACACGAUUAUCGACCAUAUCGAGAGCCUUUUGUCCAGUAUAUCUCAAAAUUUGGUUCCGUGGAGGAUGCUUGGGAAUUUUUGAUGGCACUAAGUAAAAAAACAUAUCCAUCUGUUUUGGCUUGCCAACGUGUUUUCAAGUCCUUCUUCAAUGAGGGUAGACAUUCUGAGGCCAAGGAGCUUCUUUUAAAGUGCCCUGAUCAUAUUAGCAGACGUCCUGCAAUUUGCAUCCUUUUUGGUUCAUAGAGCAGCAACCUAUAGGCAACUUCAGCCUGAGAUCAUGACUUAGAAGUACGUGUUUAGUUGAUACCUAAAUGUUCAUAAGGUUGUAAUUACAAAGGUACCAUGUGCACUGCUGAACUUUGCAGAGUGUAGAUUAGUAUUGAAAGUUUUCUCUUGCAAUGAGUAGAGGAAUAGUAAUGACUAGGAGCUUGUCUUGGCCAAAACUCCUGAGUCAUGGCUAAGGCCUUUAUUCCUUUUGGCCUUGAAAGACCCUCAGAUAUAUAAUCUAACAUCUAAGUCUUGGGAGGGAUACGAUUGUAUAUACUGCAUCUUUCAAGAAAUGUAUGUGCUUGCUCUAUCUGCAAAUCAUUUUCUUUUCAUGACAUGAUUUGGCAAUGUGCAGAGUCUUCAUGACGAACAUUUCACAGCAUUAUCUGCUUUCCAAACUCUUUAUCUCAGUAUUCGCAUGUCCAGAAGGUUCUCCUCCAUGGUUAUACAUCUUCAUUUGCUGAAUCAUGUUCUCCUACUUUUCUUUUGCAGUGCUCCUUUGCAUUGUAUGUACUUUUCUCCUGCUGUAUUCGCUAAUCUGGCCUCAAAUUUCUUUCACAUUCUGUCCAACAAGUAGAGUAGAAUACUUUGAAAUUGGUGUAUUGGUUAUGUAGUUAUUCUUACAGUCAUUGUUCGCCUUUUUGUUCAUCAUGGCUGGCAGAAAGACUCUUUACCCGGAUGGCCAAAUGGAGUUUUCCAUUAUCUUCUCUGAGAUCAGACACUUAGAAUUUUGGACAGUUACAAAUGAUUCAAUAUCUGUAUCAUAUGAAUUUUGGGGUCUACUAAUGCCUUUUUUUUUUUAUCGCACCAGUUAGAAGUUGGUUGAAACAAAUUAUUUUCUUGUCAUUCCUCAAAAACUGAAGAAUGUGAAUGUUCCUCAAAAUACUAUCAUGGAAUAGUGAAUUGGAAUGUGGGAAGCUCUUAUAUAAUGAAAGAUAGUGGAACUGGCUCUCAAAAUCAAAGGCAAUUAUCUUUGACCAUGUGGAUAACAUUUGAACAAGUAAAGCAUUCGCAAUUGUGAGUCUAAUGACUUGUUCUUAUGAAAAUGAUGAUAAAUCUGGGAAUAAUAGUUACUAUCCAAAUAGUUGAUUUCAGUAAAGAAUUUUCUUUUUCUAGAGGGCUUCAUAACAAAUCACUUGUAUAAAUGUUUGCCUCAGGCAUUGUUUAUGUCAGAGAAGUAUCUUAAUAUAAAUAAAUAAAUAAAACUAAUCAACAUAUAUAUAAGAUAGCAAACUUGUACCAAUUUCUCUUUCAUAAUUCUUCAAGAUAUUUCAUUAAGAAGGUCAUUACCUAUUCCUAAAGCUUUUUUUUUUUUUUUCAAGAACACAUGCAUCAUGAUGAAGUAACUUUAAAUUUGAGACUAUUGGAUUAUAUGGAUCACAUAGGAAAAGAUUGGCAAGGGGUGGCGGGUGCAAAACAAGAAAUAUAAGUUCAGAUGGGGACAAUUUUUAAUUGGCACAAACUUCUCUUGCGUAAAGCCGUAGACUAGCAUGUAGUACCUAAUUUUCCAAAAAAGGCCAUCUGUUUACUUGGAUCCGGAUGCGGGUCUUCCUUACCCGUACCAGGAACCCACUUUCCAACUCCUAAAACCCGCAAAAAAAAAAAAUCCCAUUUCAAGAAAACCUCUGCAAAUGACGGCGGAAGCAACAAUGAAGCAACAAGCCAGGAGACUCCUGAGUUGUCUCCGAUUCGCCAACUCGCUCCACUCAACUCACCUGCUGAGAACUCGCUCUCUCCACACUCAGGUGACUCGGUUCCCUCACUAUUUAUCCCCUUUUCUUUUCACCCGAAGUUCCCAUGACAGUGGUUAUUCGGCUCUUAGAUCCCAGCUUCAAAAGAUGGUAGAAGACAGACAGUCAGAAAGAGUGCUUUUCUCAGAGUUACAGAGAGAAGACAAUGCAAAUUCUCCCUUUUCCCAGUCGGAAACUGCUGGGAAAAGUUGGUUCAGGCCAUGUUCUUCAGGAUGUAGAUUAAAGCUGCAAUCGUGUGCUAUACGUAAUGAUAUGGAGGAGUUUGGGUUGUUGUUGAAAACGUUAGAAAAAGGGGAAAUUAUAUCGAUGAGGAGGCGUUUUUAGUUAUAGAAUCGAAACUUAUUAAGUUGGAUAGGGUUGAUGAUGCUAAGGAGUUGAAGCUUUUUUUUUAUCAAAAAUUGAUUCUUGAAAUUGCUAUUAAGAGAGCUGUGAAUUUGGUGGCCGAGAACUCGGACUGGGGCGGUGAAUUGGAGAGAAAAUUGGGAGAGAAUGGUAUAUCAGUGCAGGAGAAUUUUGUUUUGGGGGUGUUGGAGGGGCUUGGUAAAAAAGGUUUGCCUUUGAAAGCUUUGGGUUUUUUCAAAUGGGUUCGGGGGAGUUUGGGGUUUGAGCAUAAUAAUUUUACUUAUAAUUGGAUUCUUAGGUUUCUUUGCAGGGAAGAGGCGAUUUCGGAGUUUUGGAGUAUGUUCAAGGAGAUGAAAGAUGCUGGUUAUGUAAUUGAUACUGAUACUUAUAUUCAAGUGAUGAGGGAGUUUCGGACGAGGAAGAUGGUGAAGGACGCUGUUGAGCUUUUUGAGCAUAGGAUGAAUAGUCCAUUUCAGUAUUUGCCCAACGACUGUAGUUUGCUUUUGCGUGCCAUUGCAUCGACUGUUGAUCCUGACUUGGAUCUGAUGUCUAGAGUUGUGAAGAAAUACGAAGCUGCUGGGUAUUCUUUAUUGAAGAGGGACUAUGAGGGGAUCCACAGGUGCUUGUUGAGUGCUGGAAAGUUUGAUGAAGCAGAGCAGAUCGUACGGACCAUGAACAGAGCUGGUUAUGAACCAUCUAGUAUCAUCCACAAACAAUUGAUUUUUGGACUUUGUAAAGCAAGAAGGCUAAAAGAAGCCAUUGAAUUACUAGAUGAGAUGGAAGCUCAGGGAUGUGUUCCUGAUGUUGAGACUGGGAUGAUCGAACUACUGAGCUGUUGUUGUGAUAUCGAUGGAGUUGACAAGGCAUUCCUAUGGUUUGGAAAGAUGGUGAAAAAAGGCUUUGAUGCAGAUGCUGGUCUUGUGGAUGUUCUAGUCAAUGGAUUUCUGAAAGAGAAGAGGGUCAUUGAAGGAUACCAGUUUCUUGUGGAACUGGUUGACAAGGCUCGUGUGGCACCAAAGCAUGCUACACUUAAGAGUCUGAUUGAAGAGCUUCUUGUCUCCUGGAAGAAGCUUUGAACCUUCUACAGCUAAUAAAGAAACGGAAUUAUAAACCGGAUCCAGAGCCUUUCAUCCAGUAUCUGUCGAAGUUUGGUUCUGUGGAGGAUGCUUGGGUGUUUUUGAGGGCACUAAGUCACAGGCAGGGUAAAAACCAUGUAUCUGUCUUCGGUUGCAAACGUGUUUUUCAGACCUUCUUGAAUGAGGGUAGACAUUCUGAGGCUGAGGAGCUGUUUCGUAAGUGCCCUAAGUAUAUUCGCAGAAAUCCUGAAUUUCGCAUCCAUUUUUCUUCUUCAAGGAGCAGCGACGUGGUAGCAGCUUCAGCUUGAGAUCAUGAUGGAGUCAUGCAUUCCUUAGUAUUUAUCAUGGAAAGGCUUACUGAUGUUGUUUCUCCUCACUAGUCAAAAGAUGGUUGGUUGGUUGGAACAGAUUAUUUUCCUGUCAACUACACCUUCUUCCUUUUUUCAUUUUGUCGGUUAAGUUGUUCAAUGCAAUCAUUUAAAUUUGGCUUGUUUGGAUAGUCAUUUUCUAUCGAAAAAUGACCUUAUUUUCCGUGAACACAUUUUCCUAUCAUCUUUUUACCUCACAUACAUCAAAUCGCUACAGUAAUUUUUCAACGAAAAAUCCAUGAAAAAUGCAAUCGAAACGCAAAGUUUUUGAGUGAGAUCAGAUGUAACUUCGAAAAUUUUGAGGAUUCUAUAGGAUUUAUGUUUCUAAGCUAGAAAGGAAGACGCAGUUUACUAAUUCUUAGUUGGAAAAGAGCCCGCGUUUAGACUUUUAUUGAUUGGGAGGUCCAUACAAAUGAAAUGAUCAAUUAGUGGAGAAAAUUUUUGCGAAUGUCCAUCAAAGUUUGAGCAAAAAGUUAUGGUUAUACAAUACUGCAAACUCAUCGCUACUGAAUCUAUGGCAGCUAAAAUGCUAGAAUACCAGACUUGCUCCAUUUGUUUUAUCUUUUUUAAUCUUUCAGAGAUGAAAAUUUUGAGGUUCUUGAGUGAGAGUAUUAACUCGGAGAAAGUUACUGAAACAAGAAUCAUUACACUGAGAAUAGUGUAAAACAAGAACUUCCUUUCAAAUGUGAUCCCCAUCUCAUGAGUACAGUUACUGAUCCGGACCUUUUGCAGUCACCAGUACAAUUUAGAUAGGCAUUAGCAAAACACUAUACAACAAAAGUAGAAUACAAUUUGACACACUUUUUGAAGUUGUAUCACAAAAUUAAUCAUAUCUAUUCAAUUUCAAAUUAAAAUCAUCCCUAUCAUCAACUGCACCCUACAAUCUACACUGUGAUUAUAGUAGGAGCCCCUCUUCCAUUUGAAUUCGAGCUUGAACUGUGUAAUUCGAAUGUGUAUUGUGGAUAUCACACCACACUCCAAAUGAUAAAGGAUAGGUUUAGGUGGAAAUUUUGGAUGUGAAUUCUGCAAUUUGAAAAAAAAAUGACUUUUUACAGUGACAAAUGUUUGAGUGGAGAGGGCAAGGACAUUGCCUCAAGGUGGUAAAAAACACCCUCUUCCUAUGGCAUUUUUUUUUUUUUUUCCGAAAUGAUAAGUGAUUUUAUAGAUUAUCAAAAGUUUUAUAAUUUCAAAUAAGGACUCGAUAGAACUAUACAAUUAGUGUACUUCGAUACUAAAGAAUCCAAAGUUCCUCAUCUUGAUUUGUAUCUAGAGCAUAUGAGCUAAUUCUAUUACUAAUAUGAUUAUGAUCCUUGCUGACUAGACAAAAUGAGCACAAUUGAAACAACAACUUUAAAUGAAGAAUGCCUUCCAACAAGGUAAUCUCUUCCCAUGGCAUAUGUUAGGUUGAAUCCUAGUUUUGUCAUUGAAACAACCAAAUCCUCUCUUAAAGUAUCAAUUGAUGAACUCAAAAUGUAAAACCAAAAAGGGGGAGCAAAAUUCACAUUGAUGAGUGUAAUGACCACUUUUCGCAACAAAAAAAAAAGGUUUGAUAUCGAUAGUUAUUGUCUAAAUCAUUAAUAGUUUGACAUCAAUAGUUUGAUACUAGGUCUGAGAAAAGAAAAUUCUUUUGUGGUGGGGCUUGAAAAAAAUCAUUUGCAUGUCACAACUAGAAAUAAUGCAUAACUAUGAAAAUUUGCUAAGUAGUCUAACUGAUGUGCUUACCGUUGAACUUAAUUUCCCAAAAAGCCCUUGUCUAUUCACUUGGAUCCGGGUCCGGGGACUUCCUUACCAGUACCGCGAUCCCACUUCGCAACCUCUUAAACCCUCAAUAAAAUCCCUUUUCAAGAAAUUCUCUGCAUAUUAAGCAACCAUGAAGCAUCAAGCCAAGAGACUCCUGAGUUGUCUCCGAGUCGCCAACUCGCUCCACUCAACUCACCUGCUCAGGACUCGCUCUCGCCACACUCAGGUGACUGGGUUCCCUCACCACUCAUCCCCAUUUUUUCCCACCAAAAUUUUCUAUCCAGUUUCUUCUUUGCAUGAAUCCCAUCAUAGAAAACUGUUCUUUUCAACAAAAUCAGAGCCAAUUUUUGAUGAAUUAUUAUCCAAGGAUUGGGCUAAAGGGUUAG
This 13379-nucleotide long non-coding RNA is filed under the name Coffea arabica (coffee). Its description in RNAcentral is "long non-coding RNA (CARA_LNC002813)". Lineage: Eukaryota; Viridiplantae; Streptophyta; Magnoliopsida; Gentianales; Rubiaceae. The record is from RNAcentral.